AUGUAUACCAAUCAGUACCCUGAGCCUAAGGAUUGUCAUUUGACUUUGACAAAAAUGGCGCUCACCGCUCACGAUGAGAAAAUUUUAUCAAGGAGCGUAUCUCAAAUGAGUGUCAGCAUCCCAACGCCUUCAACUAUCAACAACAGAACUGCAUCAGCUCUGCCGUCCGGUGCACAUCUUCGAAGUGCUGGUAGGGGGAAGGUCAUGAAGCUAUACAUCUCCACCCUCCUCCAGGAAAGCUGUGGCAGUGCGCUCGAUGAUGUGAAUGAGGACUGCUCUUCAGAGGCUCCUCCCCAUCUCUUGUUAUUCGCAAUGUGUACGAUGUUUAUGUGUAUUUAAUGAAGAGACUCGGUGAAAUAAUCCACCAGUGCAACCAAUUAAAAGUCGUAAUAAUUUUGCACAAGUUCCAUAAGUUGGUUUGUCGCCUCCAGAGAAAUCGCCGCUGAUGAUUCAAUCGCUGAAAUCCAAGAUUUUGCAAGGAUCGCACCCAGCUCCAUGAUUUAACUUCAACUCUAAUCUCGCGCUUAAGUAAGUAGAUAAAUGGUUCCAAUAAAAUC
Molecule: long non-coding RNA, 557 nt
Filed under: Bemisia tabaci
Lineage: Eukaryota; Metazoa; Arthropoda; Insecta; Hemiptera; Aleyrodidae
Description: lncRNA ENSSSA1NGG011054
Source: RNAcentral